GAAGUCUUUAGCAGAGAGCUGAGACGGAGAAAAGGGUUCUGAACCACAGCUGUCUGCUGAAGGAAGCUGUCCAAAGGCCAGUGAAGUCUCUCCUGAGGGUGCCUGGGCUGUGCAUCAGGAGUGAAGGUUGAGGGUCACCUUAGGUGUGAGAAGGAGCAACUGGGAGAGUGGCGCUGAUGCUUCCCCCCGGGUUAGGAGGCAUUUGGAUCACAGAGCGAUGCCUGUUCAUUCCUGCUUGCAAGGGAGCAGAUCUCUCGACACCCGAUGGGCCUCUAUUCCGUUCCGGCAGCUGUCGGUGUCAGGAGCGCUGGGCUUGCUCCUCCCCACGGGAGCCAUCACAGAGGCCUCGGGCAGUCUGCAUAGACAACUGCCUGGCAGGUGACCAGGAGGGGAUGCAUGAGUAGAUGCAGGUAGCACUCGCAGUCCCCCUAGCUGUGCCCUCAGCACCUGCUGUCUAGGAGGCAGAAGCCUUGUUCUCGGCCUUGCAGGUGACCCCAGUGUCUCUGAAUUCGGCCCCAUAUGUGUAGGAGGGGAGUGAUUGCAUCUGAAGAUGGGAGUCCGGUUGGGGGUUUGGGAAGCUCCCAUCACCCCUCAAGAGUCCACUGACCAGCCCAGCUCACACCAGGUGGGCCUUGGCAUUGGAGGCCACGGCUCAACUCUGCAGUUCCCUCUGGGCAGCAUUUCCAGGGACUCGUAGGUCAGCACGGUCAUCAAGGACGGGUGGUGAGAGCAGCUCCUCAUUGUCCUGGUGACCCCGAUGGUUCAUUUUCUGGUGUCUCUGUGGUGAGCUCCUGUUACAUCAAGCGAGUGGAAACCACCGAGGACCAACAGCCCUGGAAAUGCACUGAGAAUGCAGGAUGAGUGGGGUUUGUGAGGACUGUUUUCUGUGACUUAGCAAGGAAAGCCUGGAAGGGAAAGUAAAACUGCUUCUUCCCAGGGAAGCCAGAAACCUAAGAACUUAAAAGGGAAGGAGAACUUAAUAUAUUUCAAAAAUGUAACCCUUGUGAAUUAGCAACAGCUUUAUAAACAAAGAGAUUUCCGAGCUUAUAGAAUCUAUUCUGCUUUGUUUCUGCCCCCAUGGCUCCUACCCCUGUUUUUGUGGGUGCAAUUUUCAGAUAGAACAUUUUUACACAAGCUUCAAAACUCUCUGAGGACAGCUUUCCCCUUUGCGUCUGUCGGGUCCCAGGCAGUCACAUCCCAGGAAGUGCUGGGGUUGGGCUCCUUGCUCCACAUCCUUCUUCAGUGGCACGAAGCGUGGGGUGGAGUGUGUGAGUCAUGUGUGAUCUUGGUGUGGGCUAUGGCUGGUCUGCAGCACCCCUUCAAUGACUGCUUCAAGGGCUUUUCAUGAUGCUUGUAGCUCAUGAGCUAGUGUUUCCUAGACGCUGUUUCCAGGUGUCUUGCAUGUCACACACUGGCCUACCAGGGCUGGAGUGAGAUCAUGAGCGCCAGAUUGUUGGUGAAGGAAGUUGACAGAGACAUCGAAUGUCGGUGAACAGGAGUGACCUUGGGUCUCAAUAAAUACUGUGGUCUACUGAAUCCAGAACCCACCCUUACCAGCAGGGCCCACUUCUUCCCCAGCAGGCCGAGCUCUUCCCCUCCUGUCUUCCCUGGCCCUUGCUUUGUAGCUCUGUGUGGCUGUGUCAUGUCUGGUUGUAUCUGUGUAUACUUCUGCCUCUCCCGCUAUCUAGAUGGCUCGGGGAGGCACACCACACACCAGGUCACCUUCCUCUCUGAACCCCCAGCACCUCAUACUGUUUCUGUGCAGAGAUAAGGCUGGGUGAAAGCUUGUGUGAAUGAUCUGAAGUCUUCUACUCUAGGCCAGUCUCCAGGAGCAUUAUGAUCUUUAGGAGGGUGGGCUUGGUUCCUCUGUACAAUAAUGGGUCAUAAAACUGAGUGGUCAAGAUCAUCCCGGUGAGGGCAGUCCGUGUGUUGCCAUAGUUGCUGUACCGGUUAAGAAUGCACCUGGCUGCAAUUUCCUGAAAACCUGACGUAUAGUGGCUUAAACAAAGAGUGGUUUAUUUUCCUUCUGUCAUAGCAAUCUGGGGGAGGCCACUGUGGCUUUGGCGCAGGAGGUCGGGAAAGGCCCGCUUCUCUGAUAUCACUGGGGGCCUCCCCAGUGCUUGUGUGGCAGAAUGACAAGAGGAAGAAGAAGGAGAAUUAUGGCACUGAGUAUCAUGAGAUUUGGGGUCAUAUAUCUUUAGUGGGCGGUGUUUGCUGCCCCAAAUGUCUCAUGCCAUUAAAAUGUUCUGGAAAUGAUUUAGGUAGUUGGAGUUUCCUUCCCAAAGACAAGGCAUUUACAGCAUGAUGUCCAAUAUCCAUUGAGUUUGUGUCAUGCAUUCAUUGUAUUCAUAGUCUGCUUUAGGUACUUAGCAAAAUAUUGCUGAUAUUAACAUGCCUUUGUUUGCUUCACUGGAGAUGAAAUUGUGCUCCAAGUGUUUUCCAAGGUUCCGUAUGACCCAUCAUUUGAUGAAACAAGAACAGCAGUCAGAUCCAUUACAAAGAGAGACACACAAAAAAACUAUGUGAAAAUGAGCUUAGCCCCUGGUGUUGUGUUGGAACUUCAGAUGCUUGCAGACACUUCAUGAAUGCUCUGUGACACUCAGAAUAGGCUCUUCCCAACAAAAGAGCUUGAACAAUGCUGCAUUUGCCUCAGGUUCAAAUGAGCGAGAGGAACAUUUGGCUAAAAUAUUUGGAACCAGCGUUGCUUGGAAUUCUCCUAAACCAGAAUAUUUCCUUGGCAGUGUGGACAAAAUUCCUGAUAAAGAUCACCUUUCAGAGGAGAAGAAUUUUAAAGAAUCCUGUCUGUUCCACAGGGAUUUAAGAGAGCAGUUAACUACUGUAGAUAAAGAAACACUUCAAGGAGCAGCUAAACCAGGUGGGAAUCUG
RNAcentral lists this long non-coding RNA (2886 nucleotides) under Pan troglodytes (chimpanzee). Its description in RNAcentral is "long non-coding RNA NONPTRT010225". Lineage: Eukaryota; Metazoa; Chordata; Mammalia; Primates; Hominidae. The record is from RNAcentral.